UCGUAGUUCCCACCGCGCCGCACCCGCAAGCCAGCAUGGCCCCAUCUACACGCGCCACUCUUUCCCUUCCCGCCGCACCGCCAAUGGCUUCGCGCCUCCGCCUCGUCGACCCGACCCCAAGCACAGACGCGGAUUCCGCUCAGAACCCAGGCAUCUCCGGCAAGGCAGCGGGUGAAGGGGAGCGAGUGGGAGAGGCGAAGACGCCGCAGCCGCGGCAGCCGGAUGUGACGGACCUUGGCGGCGGCAGCGAGGUGGUCUACAUCCCUCGGUUCGUGGCUCGGGAGAAGGCGUGGGAGUGGUUCGACUACCUCGACAACGCCAUCCCCUGGACACGCCCCGAAAUCCGCGUCUUUGGCCGCUCUGCCAUCCAGUUCGGGUACCCGUUUUCAUCCCUACACCAACAAGGUGGACAAGAAGGCGACUUCACCGUACUUGAUCAAGAAGAAAAAUGUAAAGGUGAUAGCCAUCAAGGCCAACAAGCAAGCCAACAACAAAGGAAAAGGGGCCAAACGGAUUUGGGUGCCUAAGGAUAUCAUCUCUAACAUGAAGAGCACCAAAAAGGUUUGGGUUCCAAGAGGGAAGUGAGAAGUCCGAAGGACUUUGUGAAAUUUGGAGACUUAGCAAAAAUGGGAUGCAUAUCAUGAGAUACAUCAUAUCGAAUCAAGUUUAUUACCAAGUGUGUUAGUGAACACUAUGAAACCAAGUUCUCCACCCAUGACUAAGAAUGUCAGCAGCCACGACGCGGCCAGGCUAACAUCGCACAGGCGGAGGCAAAGGAGGAAACUUUGCUUCUAGCACACUCAAUCUCCAGCGGCACCGGCCGCAGUGGCACUCCACCUUGAUGAGUCGAAGGCACGCGCUUUCCUCGGCGAUGGCUCCAGCAACGACAUGAUCGAAGGAUGGUGCCUCGACACCGGCGCCACUCAUCACAUGACCGGCCGACGAGAGUUCUUCAUCGAGCUCGACUCUAGCGUCCGAGGCUCCGUCAAGUUUGGGGAUGCCUCCGGCGUAGAGAUCAAGGGCGCCGGCUCAGUCGUAUUCACCGUCGCGUCUGGUGAGCACAGGCUGCUCACCGGAGUCUACUACAUCCCUGCGUUGAGGAACUCUAUCAUCAGCUUGAGACAGCUGGAUGAGAACGGUUCGCGCGUGGAGGUCGAGCACGGAGUCAUGAGGAUCUGGGACCCCUCUCGUCGCCUUCUUGCCAAGGUACACAGGAGUUUAAAUCGGCUUUACAUCCUUAACGUGAAGGUGGCACAACCUUGCUGCCUUGCUGCUCGUCAGGACGACGGGGCAUGGCAGUGGCACGAGCGCUUCAGGCAUCUUAACUUCAAGGCCCUGAAGCGGCUCAGUGCCAAGGAGAUGGUACGAGGCUUGCCGUGCCUUGACCAUGUGGAGCAAUUCUGCGAUGUCUGCGUGUUGACAAAGCAGAGACGGCUCCCCUUUCCCUAGCAGUCGAGCUUCCGAGCCAAGGAGAGGCUCGAGCUCGUGCAUGGGGACUUGUGUGGCCCGGUGACACCAGCCACACUAGGAGGACGACACUACUUGCUGCUCGUCGAUGACCUCUCCCGCUACAUGUGGGUGAUGGUCCUUGGCAGCAAGGGAGAGGCUGCGAACGCCAUCAAGCGUGUACAGGUCGCUGCGGAGGCGGAGUGCGGCCGCAAGCUGCACGUGCUGCGCACCGACAAUGGCGGUGAAUUCACGACGGCUGAGUUCGCUUCGUACUGUGCGGAUGAGGGCGUUCAACGCCACUACUCCGCGCCAUACAGCUCGCAGCAGAACGGCGUCGUCGAGCAUCGCAACCAAACGGUUGUGGGGAUGGCUCGGGCUCUCGUCAAGCAGAGGGGAACGUCGGCUGUCUUCUGGGGAGAGGCGGUGGUGACAGCGGUCUACAUCCUCAACCGCUCACCCACCAAGACACUCAACGGGAUAACACUGUAUGAGGCUUGGCAUGGGCGCAAGUCGGCGGUCUCUCACCUACGGGUCUUCGGCUGCCUCGUGUUCACCAAGGAGCUUGGCCACAUUGGCAAGCUCGACGACAGGAGCACCCCAGGGGUGUUCAUUGGCUACGCGGAGGGCUCGAAGGCGCGCGACGUAGUGUUCGACGAAGGGUGAGGAUGGGCCUGGGACAAGGCGAUGGACGACGACACGACUCCGACGUACGACGACUUCACCAUCGAGUACGUCCACUUUGAGGGAGCCGGGGGAAUCGGCAACUCUUCUUCGAGCAGGUCUACCCCAGUCCCCAAGUCUCCAACUCUAGCGCCACGCUCUCCAGCUCCGGCUACAACGAGCUCUUCGCCACCAUGCAAUCCAGCCACGACUCCGGCUACAGCAAGCUCUUCGUCACCACGUACUCCAGCACCGACGAUACCCUCUCCGGGAACGUCAUCGCCGACACCAGCCCAUGUCAUGCACGACCCGGUGGAGCUCGUGACCCCGCUUUCCCACGACGAGGAGUGCGUCGACGCGUGCUACGACGGCAAGCCGUUGUGGUAUCUUACGGUGGAGGGCCUUCUCAUCGACCCGUCGGUGCCGGACUUGGCCUCUCGCAUUCUGGCGGGAGAGUUGCAUCUUGCAUGCAACGAUGGUGAGCCUCGGUCUUUCACAGAGGCCGAGAAACACGCGGCUUGGCGUGCCGCGAUGCAGUCGGAGAUGGACGCGUUGAGACGAACCGCACCUGGGAGCUCGCUGAUCUCCCUCAUGGUCAUCGCACGAUCACCCUUAAGUGGGUGUUCAAACUGAAGAGGGAUGAAGCCGGCGCCAUCGUCAAGUACAAGGCUCGCUUGGUGGCACACGGUUUUUUACAGCAGGAGGGGAUCGACUUCGACGAUGCUUUCACCCCCGUGGCAUGGAUGGAAUCCGUGCGACUCCUCCUUGCGUUGUUAGCCUAGGAGGGCUGGCACGUUCAUUACAUGGACGUCAAGUCGGCGUUUCUUAACGGCGACUUAAAGGAGGAGGUCUAUGUACACCAGCUGUCAGGUUUUGCGAUCCCUGGCAAGGAGGGCAAGGUGUUGCGCCUGCGCAAGGCCCUUUAUGGCUUGCGACAGGCACCGAGGGCGUUGAAUGCCAAGCUGGAUUCCACGCUCAAGAGGAUGGGCUUCAUGCCAAGCCCGCACGAGGCGGCCAUCUAUCGGCGGGGCAAUGGAGACAAUGCCCUGCUGGUGGGUGUCUACGUCGACGAUUUGAUAAUCACCGACGCCAAGGAUGCAAAGGUGACGACGUUUAAGGAAGAGAUGAAGGCCACCUUCCAGAUGAGCGACCUGGGGCAUCUCUCCUACCUGGGGAUUGAGGUGCACCAGAGUGACACUGGGAUCACACUUCGCCAGUCGGCCUACGCCAAGCGCAUUGUUGAGUUGGCUAGGCUCACUAAUUGCAACCCAGCUCUCACUCCGAUGGAGGAGACGCUGAAGCUGAGCCGUGACAGCACGACGGAGGAGGUGGAUGCUACUCAGUACCGGCGUCUUGUGGGGAGCCUUCGCUACCUCGUCCACACACGACCGGAUCUGGCAUACUCUGUUGGCUACGUUAGUCGGUUCCUGCAGCGACCGAUGAUGGAGCACGAGCAAGCUGUGAAGAGGAUCGUCCGCUAUGUUGCGGGGACUCUCGACCACGGUCUCUACUAGCCGAGGUGCCCUGGGGAGGCACAUCUUGUCGGGUACAGCGACAACGACCACGCCGGUGACAUCGACACCAGCAAGAGCACAAGCCAGAUCCUCUUCUUCCUCGGCAAGUGCCCCAUCUGCGAGGUCAAGCAGCAGGUGGUGGCCAUGUCCAGCUGCGAGGCCGAGUACAUAGCGGUCUCCACCGCUUCAACUCAGGCGCUCUGGCUUGCUCGCCUGCUCGGUGAUCUUCUCGGGAGAGACGUUGGAGCAGUGGAACUCUGGGUGGACAGCCAGUCUGCCCUGGCGUUGGCCAAGAACCCCGUGUUUCAUGAACGGAGCAAGCACAUCCGGGUGAGGUACCACUUCAUCUGUGACUGUUUGGCAGAAGAGAGCAUCAAGGCGCGCUACAUCAACACCAAGAAUCAACUUGUGGACCUGCUCACCAAACCCCUUGGGAGGAUCAAGUUCCUUGAGCUUUGUUCCAGGUCCGGGAUGGCUAAACUUUUCCACAAGACGACACACAAAAAUUAGGGGGAGAAUGAUAGAAUAAGUCAUGUGGUUUUCGUGUGGAGGACAACAUCUCUGCUACAACAUGUGGAGGGCAACAUUUCUGCUAUAGGCAGGCAGCACAGCAGCAGCAGUCUUUUGACUGUUGUAGUGUGGCAGCAGCAGGCAGUACAGCAGCAGCGGCAGCUGCAGUGCAGUCAAAAUGCAGUCUUUUGACUGCACUUUAGCAUCUAGAGGAUAGCACCUAUGUGCUGUAGUGUGUAGUGUAGUAUGUAGUGUAUUCUAGUGCAGCCUAUAGGGCUAUAAAUAUGUGUCCCCGACCCUUCUAAGGUUAUGUCAUUGUGUAGUGUUUGAGAAAAUAAACAGAAAAUCGCCCCAACUCAUAGUGUCAUCCUUGAUGAGAGUAAGAGUUCCGUUGCUUACACUUACAACCGUACACAGUUUGAUGGAGUUUACAACUCACAAGCACAACAAGAGAGGGGAGAGUACACACACAAGAGCAAGCGCAACAACACAACGCAAGAGAGAAGAUCACAAGAGCGCAAUCACACGAAAUCACAAGAACAACCUAGAACGGCGCUCGGAUCUUACUAGAAUCACUAGAAUGCGUUGUGGCAGAGUACCGGAGUGAAGUAUUGCUCUUGGCAGUGCUUGGGGUGCUAAAGGAGUGCGCCAUGGGGCCCUUUUUAUAGCCAAAGGCAACCCCAUAGUUGUUGCUCCUUCCAUCUAAAAGAUGCCAAAAAUCUGCUGUCUGCGGGGGCACCUGAUCGAUCCGGGUCCAUGUGCACCAUCUCCGAGAUCUGACAGCCUCCUUCCUUCUGGGGAGCGCGCCGGACCGGGUCCAUGCACCACCAGACCGCCACGUGUCGCCUUCCCGUGAAGUAGUCGUUGGCGCCCGGAGCUAGCCGUUAUUGGACGGUCCGGUGCGCCACCAGACCGUGCAGAGUAUCAGUCCAAUGAUUUUAUAAAAUAACAUUUCGAGACCUCGAAGUUCAACCGUACAAGUGGUCUGGUGCACUAGGCCGCCAAAGCGCCCGAGUCUGGACUCUGGCAAAUCGGUCCGGUGAGUCCCAGACGGUGACCGACAACAAUGAAGUUCCGCCAACCCACAACGGCCACGGCAGUACCAGCAGAGGUGGUGAACCUGAUUAUUGUCUUGUACCUACGUUGUUUGGCGGGUGAUCGACCCAAGACUUGGUUAUAGUGGCUUCCUUUGGCUGAAUUUUUUUUAUAAUACCUCAUACCAAACUGUUGUCAAAUGUACUCCAUUCAGAAUUGUGUAUGGUCGUGAUCCUCCAACCAUGUUAUCCUAUAAGCCAGGGAUGGCCAAUGUGGCUGCAGUAGACCAGCAACUCCAGGAUCGGUACGUUUUCUUGGAAGACAUCAAACAAAGGUUACUCCAAGCUCAGGUAACAAUGAAGAGUACUCAAGGUAAAAGUCGCCGAGAGGUGCAAUACAAUGUUGAGGAUUGGGUUUGGCUACGUUUGCAACAACAGUCAGCAGUUGGUGUCACAACAGCAGCAUCCUGCAAACUAGGACCUAAGUUUUAUGGUCCUUAUCAAAUUCUGCAGCAUAUCGGGGAUGUCUUGUACAAGCUCCAGUUGCCGGCAAAUGCUAGGAUCCAUGAAGUGUUUCAUGUAGCACUUCUCAAGAAGUUUCAAGGGGAUCCUCCGGCAGCACCAGUGCCCUUACCGGCGGUCCUCCGUGGCAAGAUGCUCCCUGUUCUAUCAAAAGUGGUGAAGGCUCGCUUGAACAGAGGUGUCUGGGAGCUUCUGGUACAGUGGAUGGGGCGCGCGCCAUCUGAUGCUACCUGGGAACAAUGUACUUAAUUGAAGAGGCGUUAUCCAGAAGUCCAACUCGAGGGUGAGUUGUUUGUCGGAGAGGAUGGAAAUGUUAUAGAUGCUUUUGUGGGCCGCCACUUUUCUAGGCGUAGGAAAGGGAAGUAGAGCCGAUCAGUUCAUGAAUAAUAGAAGAUAAGUUUUCUUAGAGGAUUGGUUUCCUUUUUGUAUGAUUUCCUAAAUAAUAGCAGAGGAUUAGCUCUACAGUAGGAUGCGCCAGGGCGCCUUCCACUAUAAGGGCGGCUGGGCAUCGUUUGUAAUAGGCAUCCAAGAAAUAAAGAUAUUCCCUCAGAGCAGGAUCAUCCUGGCUAGGCACAGCGCGGGCUCAGGUGAUCUAGGAGAUCAACGUCCUCCUCACCCCUACGCCCUACACCAUUCACAGCUCCCUCUCCACUCCCCCUUGAGAGAUACCAGGAGACCCAGGUCAUGAGCUUACUAGAGGGAAGUUCGUAACAGGGUGGUAAUGGAUUAUGAUCCAAAUGUUUCUUCACAAUUUGUUUGAGGUCUUAAUUAAUUUUAGUUCAAAAAUGAAUAGAAAUAGAGUCUGAUCCUAAUCCAUUAUGAUUCUUAAAUUUUAUAGUGUAAAAUUUAGAGCUUAUUAUCACCCCUAGGUGUGGAUAGUGACGUACCUCAAACUUUGGUACAGUUAUAAUAGCAUUGGCACAGUUUCUUGAGUUUCUCAAUGGCACUUUUCAAAAAAUAGCUAGCUAUAAUAAUGUUGGUACAUGCGCCUUGCUAUGUUGGGGUUUCUUGAGUUUCUCAACGGCACACCUCAAAAAAUAGCUAGCUAUAAUAAUGUUGGUACAUGCGCCUUGCUAUGUUGGGGUUUUGGAAUUUUUGCUCCUAAUGAAGUCUAAGUUAUGUGAAACAGUUGCAGAUCAUGUAAACUGAUUGAUCGUCAUACCAUAGUUCAUCAAACUAAACGCUAGUGUUGAGCAGUAGUACAAAUUCUGUGGCUGAAAGAGGCUGAGGGUGGAACUCAUAUGUAGGGUCAUUGAGACAAAAAUCUCCAUUAAUACAGCUUACUGGUAAGACCCUUGCCAAUCAUACUAAGGGCAGUCCCAAUGCAUGGUUUCUACAGGUAUUUUCUAGACAAAGUAUAAUUUAGACCCGAUGCUCCCAAUGCAUGAUUUCUUGUAGUAAUUUCUAUGAAGCCAAAAAUUUAUUGAGUACUUGUAUGCUCCGCAAACAGAGAAAAAUCAGGUGUGGCAAAGAAACAUGUAGGAGACCAUGUCGCCACAUCUCACUGUCUCUUCUGUCUCCAAUUACGUUAAUAAACAAAGCAAAAACGUCAAGUUUUGCCAGAUGGACAUUGGUAGAGUGGUAAACGAGAUUUGUGAUUCUUCGAUUGCUGAGGAGAAUGUAUUUCCCAUCAGUUGGGGAAGCGAACUUUUAUCUAAUAAUAAUUGUGUAGUGUUGGUAGGAAGCCACUGAUCCAGGUACCUUUUCCUCUUGCUUUUUUCCUGCAGCCUAGAGAUGUGUGCUAUGUUGCAGAUGAAGGGUUGACAGAUUUGAGAUAUAGUGGCCAUCAGCCUCUUGCACAUUCUUGGGAUGAAUUCCCCGUGCUCAAGGACGUCUUGAAAGUGGUCCAUGAAGCCCUUCCCGGGAGCUAUUUCAACAGCUUGCUCCUGAACAGAUACAAGACAGGUUCAGACUACGUUUCAUGGCAUGCAGACGAUGAGCCCCUCUACGGGCCGACUCCAGAGAUAGCAUCUGUUACCUUUGGGUGUGAACGUGACUUCUUACUUCGGAAGAAGCCUACCAAAUCGCAAGGUGCGGUCGUAGUGUUUUGUUAUCGUAGCACAUCAUUUAGCCGGAAUUGAUUCGCUGUAAACAUCUGCCAGCCACUUCUGGAUCUGGAGAAGCUGGUCGAAAGCGGCUCAAGGUCGAUGCACCUCAAAAGCCACAUCAUUUUCUUCUGAAGCAUGGCUCGCUGCUUGUGAUGAGAGGCUACACCCAGCGGGACUGGCAGCACUCGGUUCCGAAGCGAGCCAAAGUGAGCUCACCAAGGAUCAAUCUGACUUUCAGGCAUGUACUGCGGUGACACACUCUCUUUAGCAUGCCAUUGAAAUCACAAUGAAGCUGUCACUGAAUUCGAAUCUAAGCCCAACAAUUUUGAGUGGAUUGACAAGCAAAAAAAUAGGUGAUAUGUUGUCUCCUUCCUUUCCAUAUCAUAAAGAAUGCAAUCGUAGUCAUUGUUCUCAAGCUGAUAGUUCUUCCUUCUUAGAAUGUUACGUGUGUGAAGCCUAUCCAUAAGGAGUAGCCAGAUAAAAACUCUCAACUUAUUGCAGCACUUGGAUUUCCAUAUCCAAACAAAGUGAUCUAGUGGUUGCAUGUUUCUGUAUGGAAGACGAUAAAUUUUCUUUGAGCUAAAAUUGUGUGCCCCCCACCCCCCAAAAUAUGUAAAUACAUUGAUCUCUUGAAUUGUUGAGGAUCUGUUCAGUUGCAAGCAUUGCGUUGAGAUCUUGGAAUUCCUGAUACGCUUGUGAAGACAGGGGUAAAUAGAAGUGCUACUCCAAAGACUGAUGAGAUGAACUUGGAGACAGAUGUUUUUGUUCUUGGCAUAAGAGAAGAAUAUGGGAUAGGUUUGCUGUAGCAACUUAUCAUUCUGCAACAAUACAUUUUGCAACUCCUCUGUAAAGAUCUUUUAGCCAAAA
This is an RNA transcript of Zea mays, 8604 nucleotides long. It is a transcript of the gene named DNA oxidative demethylase ALKBH2, with no coding region annotated. Lineage: Eukaryota; Viridiplantae; Streptophyta; Magnoliopsida; Poales; Poaceae. The record is from RefSeq and is a predicted model, not a curated record. The transcript has 4 exons.